This 77-nucleotide transfer RNA is filed under the name Roseateles aquatilis. RNAcentral's name for it is "tRNA-Arg". Lineage: Bacteria; Pseudomonadati; Pseudomonadota; Betaproteobacteria; Burkholderiales; Sphaerotilaceae. The record is from RNAcentral.
CAGCCCGCGCAGAUCCUGGAUUUCUACCCUGCCUUCUAAGCAGCAGGUCGGGGGUUCGAGUCCCUCCGGGCAGGCCA